This 253-nucleotide ribosomal RNA is filed under the name uncultured bacterium. RNAcentral's name for it is "partial 16S ribosomal RNA". It matches the Rfam family "Bacterial small subunit ribosomal RNA", at positions 524 to 776 of the family's 1533-position model. The record is from RNAcentral.
UACGUAGGGGGCAAGCGUUGUCCGGAAUCAUUGGGCGUAAAGCGCGUGUAGGCGGCUCGGUAAGUCUGCUGUGAAAGUCCAGGGCUCAACCCUGGGAUGCCGGUGGAUACUGUCGAGCUCGAGUCCGGAAGAGGCGAGUGGAAUUCCUGGUGUAGCGGUGAAAUGCGCAGAUAUCGGGAGGAACACCGGUGGCGAAGGCGGUUCUCUGGGCCGAUACUGACGCUGAGGAGCGAAAGCAUGGGUAGCGAACAGG